Molecule: long non-coding RNA, 368 nt
Filed under: Anas platyrhynchos platyrhynchos (common mallard)
Lineage: Eukaryota; Metazoa; Chordata; Aves; Anseriformes; Anatidae
Description: lncRNA (ENSAPLG00000020518.1)
Source: RNAcentral
CCUGAAGGCAGUGGUUGGAUCCAGCUUCAGGAUCAAAUCAUUCUCAGCCACUUGGGAACAAAAUCCCAGAAAUCCCAGGCCAGCAGCCAGGGAUGCAGGAGGAGAAGAUGGGGUUCCCCUCCUGACCUCGGCAGGCGCCCCCAUCCAGCAUUUUCUCCAGACUGGUCCAUUCCUCCUCUCAGUCUGGGACAGGAGUUGCAGCAUACUGGCCAGCUGUGCCAGAGCGAUAUCACCAAAAAGAUGUUACCCAACAAAGCUCGAGGAUGAGACGACUGAGUGAAAGCUUCGCAAAAACAGAGACUGAAAGAUUUGUAAAUGAAUCCGAAAUGAGACAAGCACGUCAAAAAACCAUCCAGCAACAGUACAAC